Molecule: ribosomal RNA, 274 nt
Filed under: uncultured Ascomycota
Lineage: Eukaryota; Fungi; Ascomycota
Description: partial 18S ribosomal RNA
Rfam family: Eukaryotic small subunit ribosomal RNA
Source: RNAcentral
UUGGAGGGCAAGUCUGGUGCCAGCAGCCGCGGUAAUUCCAGCUCCAAUAGCGUAUAUUAAAGUUGUUGUGGUUAAAAAGCUCGUAGUAGAAGCUCGGGCUCCGGCCGACCGGUCCGCCUCACCGCGUGCACUGGUUCGGCCGGGCCUUCACCUUCUGCGGAACCGCAUCUCCUUCACUGGGGGUGUCGGGGAAACAGGACGUUUACUGUGAAAAAAUUAGAGUGCUCCAGGCAGGCCUAUGCUCGAAUAGAUUAGCAUGGAAUAAUGGAAUAGG